UACAGUGUUAUUUUCGGAUAAUGCAUCCGAUCUACAGUUGCAAUUAGAUAUCUUCUUUGAAUAUUGCAGUACCUGGAAACUAAAAGUGGACACAAGUAAAAGUAAGAUUAUAUUUUUUUCUGGGGGUAGAUUACCCAAAAAUACUAACUUUAUAUAUGACGGAAAUGCAUUAGAGAUAGUCAAUGAAUUGACAUAUCUUGGGUUGAAUUUUUCAAGAACAGGUAGCUUUAUGAGUGCUAAGAACAUUUUAGUUAGAAAAGCAUAUAAAGCAAUGUAUGAAGUAUUGAAAGAGGGGAGGUUGCACAACUGGUCAUUGAAAUUACAAUAUGAUCUUUUUGAUAAAAUUGUGAAGCCAAUUCUCCUGUAUGGGUGUGAGAUUUGGGGUUUCAGUAAUACUAAUAUCAUAGAAAAAGUGCACCUAAAAUUUUGUAAACUAUUAUUAAACCUUAAGAAGUCGACACCCAAUUUUAUGAUUAAUGGUGAACUUGGUAUUUAUCUCAUGUCUUUAUAUAUACAGCUGCGUAUGGUUAAUUUUUGGUCAAAAAUGGUAAAUGGGGAUGAUAACAGGAUUGCUAAAAUACUAUACAAAUACAUGUUCUUGAAAAAUUCUGACAACCAAUUUAAGUCAGAUUGGUUGAAAUACGUUAAAGAUAUAUUAGAUAAAUGUGGAUACAGCAAUAUAUGGUUGUCACAAGGAAAUUUUAAUUCUAAGUGGUUGGGUAUUAGUUUAAAACAAAAGUUAUUUGAUCAGUUUCAACAGAUAUGGAGAGCUGAUAUUGACUGUUCGUCAAAAGGUUUGGCCUACAAAUUGUAUAAACAAAAUUUUGAGUUUGUGGAAUAUCUGAAUAUUUUAAGUGAUAAAGAUAGAAUAACAUAUUGUAGAUUUCGAACGGGUAACCAUAAGUUACCCAUCGAAACUGGUAGAUGGAAUAAGAUUGAGCGAAACCUUUAGAUAUUGUAACUUAUGUCAUUGUAACGAGAUUGGUGAUGAAUUUCAUUACACUUUGCAGUGUAGUUCAUUGGCAAAUUUUCGAGCACAAUAUUCGGAUACUUUUUUCUUGCACAGAUGUAACAUACUAAAAUUUGAAAAACUAUUUCAGUUAAAAAUAAAAAAUAAGUUGAAAAAGCUGUACAAAUUUAUCAGGGUUAUGACUUUUCAAGUGAGUCUUCCUGGUUUAUCACCACUCUUCUCUACUAUACUGUUUUAUUUAUUUUAUUUGAUAUUUUCAUCUCAUCUUGUCAUGUGUUUGUGUUAUGUUAUAUAACUUGUGAUGAACUUCUUUGUACCAUUGUAACUUUAUGGUGUUUGAGAAAUAAAGAAUCUUGGUGGGGAUGGAAGGGGGGUAAACUGAUUAAAUUAAUAGACAUCACUAUGACUUCCUUUAUAAAGUUAAACUAUUGCAGUAUCACUGACGGGAUAAUUUAAUUAAACCGAGAGAGAUAUAAGAUAUACAACAUGUUUCUCCUGGUAUCAAUAAUGAGUUUAUCUAUAUCAUGUAUGUAUAAUGAGUUCAGCAAUAUCAUUUUUUUGCUAAACUUAAUCUACCACAUUUUACUUUGAAAACUUUGUUUCAUGUUUUGAGCGUAUAUGAUGAAGUUUAUUCGGAAAUUAGUGCGCACAAACAUUAAGUUAUAUAUUAUCUUAUACUUUAGGUGAACAAAUAAUUUUAGUCCCUUGCAGAAUGAAAAUAGUGAAGAUUCUGUGUGCGAUAUUCAUGAUGCUAAUGGCAGUUUUAACAGGAACAGUCAUUGGACGGCCAUGACGCGGGCCACCAAUGGAAGAGCUUUAUCUUACAGAGUACUGCCACCACUUGGAGGGUUUGAAUUCAACAGAGUUAAACGAGAUGACAAUGGCCGUUAUUUGGAUAGAACCGUCGAAUUAUUGAUAAUAACAAAUU
This 1898-nucleotide long non-coding RNA is filed under the name Mytilus galloprovincialis (Mediterranean mussel). The record is from RNAcentral. Lineage: Eukaryota; Metazoa; Mollusca; Bivalvia; Mytilida; Mytilidae.